This 2832-nucleotide long non-coding RNA is filed under the name Lotus japonicus. RNAcentral's name for it is "long non-coding RNA (LJAP_LNC000779)". The record is from RNAcentral. Lineage: Eukaryota; Viridiplantae; Streptophyta; Magnoliopsida; Fabales; Fabaceae.
UACACAAUUUUUUAAUGGGUGUGGACAUUGAUGAAGCCUUAAUGGCUGAAGUUGACCGUGAAUUGCUUCAACGUGACAUAGAUAAAUCUCAUACUCAACGUGAUGAGGAGUAUAGACAAGGCCAACUUCUAAGGGAUAAUAUUGCAAAUGAAAUGUGGAAUGUUUAUCAAGUUUAGUGUUGUUGUCUAAUGUUUCCUAAGUCUUCAUCUUGUAAUUUGUACUUGGAUUAUGUGCAUGUAAUGUUUGUUGUUAUUCAUGUUUUCCAUUUGUUAUUAGUGUUGGGUCAUUCUUUCUAUUUGUUAUUCAUUGAUCUGCUAAGUAUGAAAUUGAUUUGAGUAAUGUCAAAGACUAUUCUUCUCAGGUGUAUUUGUCAUUGAUUCCUAAAACAGUGAUCAACAUUUUCUAGCAUUCUAUAUAUUUACUACAAUUGUAUUUAUAGGUUGAAAGAUGACAAAGGGUAAGGGUCAAACUGGGGAACCUACUCAAGUCCGUGCUGCUGCUGUCUUGAGGUGGACUGAAGACAUGGACAACAUAUUAUUGAAUGCAUUUUCUGAGGAGGUUACCAAGGGAAAUAGGCAAGAUGGUUCAUGGACAACAGAAGGCUAUGCUAAUGUACUUGAGGCAUUAAGGGUUGCUGUUUCACCAACCAUGACAAAGCAACAUAUUAAAAAUAGAAUGAAAACCAUGAAGGAAAACUUUGUUGAGGCCUAUGAUCUAUUCAGAGGUCUUAGUGGCUUUGCAUGGAGUCCAGCGACUAGGAGGUUUGAGGCUGAGGAUCAUGUAUGGGAGGAAUUAAUUAAGGUGAGUUGCAUUAUUCAUGGCAUGUAAUGGUAGUCAUUGUGGUAUUUAUUUACACAGUACAAUAUUAACUAAUGUUGUCAUUUAAUUUGUGAAAGGAAAAACCCCAUGCGGCUAAAUGGAAAAAAACGCAAGUCAAGCACUAUGAUACAAUGAAGGAGCUUUUUGGAGCUGAUUGAGCAACGGGAAAAAGAGCCUUAAGUGCUGGCCAAAUAUUGCGUGAAAUGGAUAAGGAAACCGUCGACUUAAAUGAUGUUGGUGAUGAUACUUCUAUACCGGAACCAAAUGUUGGUGUCUUUGAAGAGGGGCAAUUCUCCCCUCCUCAUGUUGACUCGUUUAGCCCAGCCCAAGCACCGUCUCAUCAAUCUUCAGGUACAUCUGGUUCAAGAGGAACAAAGCGUAAGACAUCAAUGGUUGAUUCCUUUGAUUCUCAAGUGGAGAAAAUGACUAGUGCUCUUGGAUUGGUGGGUCAUUCUUUCUAUUUGUUAUUCAUUGAUCUGCUAAGUAUGAAAUUGAUUUGAGUAAUGUCAAAGACUAUUCUUCUCAGGUGUAUUUGUCAUUGAUUCCUAAAACAGUGAUCAACAUUUUCUAGCAUUCUAUAUAUUUACUACAAUUGUAUUUAUAGGUUGAAAGAUGACAAAGGGUAAGGGUCAAACUGGGGAACCUACUCAAGUCCGUGCUGCUGCUGUCUUGAGGUGGACUGAAGACAUGGACAACAUAUUAUUGAAUGCAUUUUCUGAGGAGGUUACCAAGGGAAAUAGGCAAGAUGGUUCAUGGACAACAGAAGGCUAUGCUAAUGUACUUGAGGCAUUAAGGGUUGCUGUUUCACCAACCAUGACAAAGCAACAUAUUAAAAAUAGAAUGAAAACCAUGAAGGAAAACUUUGUUGAGGCCUAUGAUCUAUUCAGAGGUCUUAGUGGCUUUGCAUGGAGUCCAGCGACUAGGAGGGUUGAGGCUGUGGCAUGUAAUGGUAGUCAUUGUGGUAUUUAUUUACACAGUACAAUAUUAACUAAUGUUGUCAUUUAAUUUGUGAAAGGAAAAACCCCAUGCGGCUAAAUGGAAAAAAACGCAAGUCAAGCACUAUGAUACAAUGAAGGAGCUUUUUGGAGCUGAUUGAGCAACGGGAAAAAGAGCCUUAAGUGCUGGCCAAAUAUUGCGUGAAAUGGAUAAGGAAACCGUCGACUUAAAUGAUGUUGGUGAUGAUACUUCUAUACCGGAACCAAAUGUUGGUGUCUUUGAAGAGGGGCAAUUCUCCCCUCCUAAUGUUGACUCUUUUAGCCCAGCCCAAGCACCGUCUCAUCAAUCUACAGGUACAUCUGGUUCAAGAGGAACAAAGCGUAAGACAUCAAUGGUUGAUUCCUUUGAUUCUCAAGUGGAGAAAAUGACUAGUGCUCUUGGAUUGGUGGCUGAUGCAUUGAACAGUGGUAAUUGUAUUUCUAAUAAGCUACAUGAUGUGGCUGAAAGACAAGUGGGAGUCGUAGAACGUCAAGUUGGAGCAAUUGAAGAGCGCAAUGAAAUUUACAAAGACCAGUUGAUCGUCUUUAAACAUAGUAAACCACGUAUAUAUACUGAAUCGGAUGUGUGGAAUAUGUUGACUGAACUGAAUGUAACUGACCCACUUCGCAUGCAGUGCUAUGAAUUUCUUUGCACUAAUGAUCAAAAUAAGCGCUUGCUUUUUGGUGUACCAAGUCAGAUGCCACUACAGACUCUAUUUCAAAUGAUGAAUGAGGGUGGGUUCCGUUGAUAAGUUAUGUUCAGUUGUAGCCUUUUGUUGCUAAUUUACAUUAUGUACUUUUUUGGGAUGUAUGUACUGAAGACAUCAUUUGGCAGCUUUAGCUAUUUAUGUAAUUUGUAAUCUAUUAUGUAAAGAAGUAGGAAGCUAGGGAAGGUUGCUUGAUGUGAAAGGAUCAUUUUGUUUUGUUAUGGUGAAUGUCAUAUGUUUUGUAAGCCUUUUGAACGUCAGGUUGCUUGAUGUUAUGGAUCAUUAUGUAUGGAUUAUAGUAAAUGUAAUGUAACUACUUCUAUUACUUUUUC